UUAGAACGUCGUGAGACAGUUCGGUCCCUAUCUGCCGUGGGCGCUGGAGAACUGAGGGGGGCUGCUCCUAGUACGAGAGGACCGGAGUGGACGCAUCACUGGUGUUCGGGUUGUCAUGCCAAUGGCACUGCCCGGUAGCUAAAUGCGGAAGAGAUAAGUGCUGAAAGCAUCUAAGCACGAAACUUGCCCCGAGAUGAGUUCUCCCUGA
RNAcentral lists this ribosomal RNA (208 nucleotides) under Escherichia coli. Its description in RNAcentral is "partial 23S ribosomal RNA". It matches the Rfam family "Bacterial large subunit ribosomal RNA", at positions 2611 to 2818 of the family's 2925-position model. The record is from RNAcentral. Lineage: Bacteria; Pseudomonadati; Pseudomonadota; Gammaproteobacteria; Enterobacterales; Enterobacteriaceae.